Molecule: ribosomal RNA, 1380 nt
Filed under: Triticum aestivum (bread wheat)
Lineage: Eukaryota; Viridiplantae; Streptophyta; Magnoliopsida; Poales; Poaceae
Description: partial small subunit ribosomal RNA
Source: RNAcentral
AUGUCCAUGAAGCUCGCCGCGUGCUCUCUCCUCCUUCCUCUAGUGCUUGCGGCGCUCCUCCACCCGGCUGAUGUCGUCGCUGUAGGUGAUGGCACACCAGACCGCGGUGGCGGUGGCUUCAGCCUGCGGCUGGUACCCAGCCACGGCUGGAACCGUAGCAUCCACGUCGACGACGACGGCUUCGUGCACCUGAAUGAGCACCCCACCACCGCGCUUCGGCCGCCCAUGCACACACAAAUUGGGGGCAAGUACAGCGUCGUCACCACCGUUGGGACGGGAGCGGGACGACGCACGUACGUCCUCGCGCUGGAUAUGACCAGCAGCGAACUGUGGAUGCAGUGCAAGCCGGUCCAAAAGCCUUUCGCACAGCAGCCGCCGCCCUUCGAGCCUGCCAAGUCGCCGUCGUUCCGCCAUGUACCCGGCAACAGCAGGUUAUGCUUGCCGCCCGCUCAUGGGCAUCGGCCCACAGUUCAAGACCCAUGCAAGUUUCGUAGCUUCGGACUUAACGGCACCGAUGCGAGAGGCGUCCUGAGCAACGAGACCUUGGCCUUCGCGGCCGCCGGCCAGGAGGCGGAGGUUGCUGGCGUCGUCAUUGGCUGCACGCACAGCAGCGACGGCUUCAACUUCAACAGCCACGGAGUGCUCGCCGGGGUGCUCGGCCUGGGAAGGCAGGCCCCGUCGCUCAUCUGGACGCUCGGCCAACACAGGCAUGUUGCCGUGCAAGUGCAUCGCUUCUCUUACUGCCUCCCUAGCCACGGCUCGCCGGACCACCACACCUUUCUUCGGUUCGGCGACGACAUCCCACACACCCAACACAUGGUGAGCACCAAGAUCUUGUACACGAGCUUCACCACUAGCCGAGAUUUCAGCGCCUACUUCGUCUCCCUCACGGGCGUCAGCGUCGGCGGGCGGCAGCUGGACCUGGAGCAUAUCGGGGAGCUGUUCAAGCGCCACAUCCAUGGUGGCAGGUGGACCGGCGGGUGCGCGUUCGAUGCUGGGACUGCGGCAAUGGUGAUGGUAGCGCCCGCUUACGAAAAGCUCAAGGACGCCGUGUUGGAGCACCUCAAGCCGCUAGGGGUGCCAACCGUGUCCCGCGUCGAGUACCACCUCUGCUUCCGCACGACAUCGCAGCUCUGGCAGCACCUGCCCACGGUGACGCUGCAGUUCGCCGAGCCUGAAGCGCGGCUCGUGCUGCCGCCACAACGGCUGUUCGUCGCAGUGGGGCACGACAUCUGCCUCGCCGUGGUGCGGAGCAACGACAUCACCAUCAUCGGCGCCAUGCAGCAAGUGGACAAGCGCUUUGUCUACGAUGUUAGAGAUGGCAGGAUCUACUUCGCCCCUGAGAAUGGAUGCCAUGCAGACGCCGGCCACCAGAUUUAA